GCCAUAUCACUUGGAAACACCGGUUCUCGUUUGAUCACCGAAGUUAAGCAACGUUAAGCGUGAUCAUACCUGGAUGGGUAACUGCUCGGGAAUAUCAGUUGUUGUAAG
This is a non-coding RNA of Acanthosepion pharaonis, 108 nucleotides long. The record is from the annotation of a GenBank genome assembly. Lineage: Eukaryota; Metazoa; Mollusca; Cephalopoda; Sepiida; Sepiidae.